UGCGUAACACGUACGUAAUCUACCCUUUGCCAAGGUAUAGCUCGUAGAAAUUCGAAUUAAUACCCCAUACUAUAAAAUUUUCGCCUGAAUAUUUUAUUAAAGCUUGGUUAAAACCUGUAGCAAAGGAUGAGCGUGCGCCCGAUUAGUUGUUGUGAGGUAAUGGCUACCAAGACUGCACGAGGGGGCCUGAGAGGGUGAUCCUCCACACUGGUACUGAGACACGGACCAGACCUUUAAGGAGGGCAGCAGUGAGGAAUAUUGGUCAAUGGAGGAACUCUGAACCAGCCACUCCGCGUGCAGGACGACGGCCUUCUGGGUUGUAAACUGCUUUUGUAUAGAAAUAAAAUUUCUUACUAGUAAGAACUUGAAGGUACUAUACGAAUAAGUGUCGGCUAACUCCGUGCCAGCAGCCGCGGUAAUACGGAGGACACAAGCGUUAUCCGGAUUUAUUGGGUUUAAAGGGUGCGUAGGCGGUUUGUUAAGUCAGUAGUGAAAUCUUACAGCUCAACUGUAAAAUUGCUAUUGAUACUAGCAGCCUAGAGUAAGAUUGGAGCAAUUGGAAUGUGUGGUGUAGCGGUGAAAUGCAUAGAUAUCACACAGAACACCGAUCGCGAAGGCAGAUUGCUAAGUCUUUACUGACGCUGAGGCACGAAAGCGUGGGUAGCAAACAGGAUUAGAUACCCUGGUAGUCCACGCUGUAAACGAUGAUCACUAGCUGUUGGAUUGUUUUUUAUUCAGUGGCCAAUCGAAAGAGGUAAGUGAUCCACCUGGGGAGUACGAUCGCAAGAUUGAAACUCAAAGGAAUUGAGCGGGGGUCCGCACAAGCGGUGGAGCAUCGUGGUUUAAUUCGAUAAUACGCGAGGAACCUUACCAAGGCUUAAAUGUACCACGAAUAAUCUGGAAACAGUUUAGUUUUCGGACGGGGUACAAGGUGCUGCAUGGUUGUCGUCAGCUCGUGCCGUGAGGUGUUGGGUUAAGUCCUGCAACGAGCGCAACCCCCAUUGUUAGUUGCCAACGGAUUAUGCUGGGAACUCUAACAAAACUGCCGAUGCAAAUCGAGAGGAAGGUGGGGAUGACGUCAAAUCAUCAUGGCCCUAACGUCUUGGGCCACACACGUGCUACAAUGGCCGGUACAGAGAGAAGCCACUGGGUGACUAGAAGCGAAUCUCUAAAACCGGUCUCAGUUCGGAUUGGAGUCUGCAACUCGACU
Molecule: ribosomal RNA, 1210 nt
Filed under: Flavobacteriales endosymbiont of Icerya basiliensis
Lineage: Bacteria; Pseudomonadati; Bacteroidota; Flavobacteriia; Flavobacteriales
Description: bacterial SSU rRNA
Rfam family: Bacterial small subunit ribosomal RNA
Source: RNAcentral